GCCGUACCUAGCCCAAACAGAACAUAACAAAACUACCAGUACCUAAUUAAUCAAAACAUUCACACCCUAAAAGUAUAGGAGAUAGAAAUUUUAAUUGGCGCUAUAGAGAAAGUACCGCAAGGGAACAAUGAAAGAAAAUUACCAAAGCAAAUAACAGCAAAGCUUACCCCUUGUACCUUCCGCAUAAUGAGUUAGCUAGACCAACUUAGCAAAGAGUCACUUAAGUUAAGAGCCCCGAAACCAGACGAGCUAUUCAUGAGCAGCCUAACAGGGCAAACUCAUCUAUGUAGCAAAAUAGUGAAAAGACCCAUGAAUAGAGGUGAUACGCCUACCGAGCCUGGUGAUAGCUGGUUGUCCAGCAAAAGAAUCUUAGUUCGAACUUAAGCCUACCUAAAACCCCUACAAUUCCAACUGUAGACUUAAGAAAUAGUCUAAAAGGGGACAGCUUUUUAGACACAGGUUACAACCUUUACCAGAGAGUAAGAACAAAAACACACCAUAGUAGGCCUAAAAGCAGCCACCAAUAAAGAAAGCGUUCAAGCUCAACAAUCCACCUCCCCACCCCCUCCCAAAAAUCAACUAUCCAACUCCUGGCACCUAAACCUGGACUACUCUAUAAAAACAUAGAAGAAACAAUGCUAAUAUGAGUAACAAGAAAUCACUUUCUCCCCGCACAAGUGUAUAUCAUGAACGAAUCCUCACUGAUAGUUAACGCAUGCAAACCCCAAACAAAUAGCAAGUCUUCUGCCCACCUAACCGUUAACCCAACACAGGAGUGCCUCCGGGAAAGAUUAAAAGGAGUAAAAGGAACUCGGCAAACAUAGACCCCGCCUGUUUACCAAAAACAUCACCUCUAGCAUCUCUAGUAUUAGAGGCACUGCCUGCCCAGUGACACACGUUCAACGGCCGCGGUAUCCUAACCGUGCAAAGGUAGCAUAAUCACUUGUUCUCUAAAUAAGGACUUGUAUGAAUGGCCACACGAGGGUCUCACUGUCUCUUACCCCUAAUCAGUGAAAUUGACCUCCCCGUGAAGAGGCGGGGAUUCCAUAACAAGACGAGAAGACCCUAUGGAGCUUUAAUUAAUCAACCCAAGGAAAUCCUUUCUCUCCCCACGGGAACAACACAACAUCCAACUUGGGUUGACAAUUUAGGUUGGGGUGACCUCGGAGCAUAAAACACCCUCCGAGUAACUACAAGCCCAGACUUACCAGUCAAAGCCACAUGACAAGUAUGAUCCAAAAUAUUUGAUCAACGGAACAAGUUACCCUAGGGAUAACAGCGCAAUCCUAUUCAAGAGUCCAUAUCGACAAUUAGGGUUUACGACCUCGAUGUUGGAUCAGGACAUCCCAAUGGUGCAGCAGCUAUUAACGGUUCGUUUGUUCAACGAUUAAAGUCCUACGUGAUCUGAGUUCAGACCGGAGCAAUCCAGGUCGGUUUCUAUCUGUAUUACGCUCCUCCCAGUACGAAAGGAUAAGAGAAGCGGGGCCCCCUUAAAACUAAGCGCCCUCAACAAACCAACGGAUGAUUCAAUCUUAACCCGACAUGUAGUAAUUACACUUGCCCUAGACCAGGGCUCA
Molecule: ribosomal RNA, 1577 nt
Filed under: Diaemus youngi
Lineage: Eukaryota; Metazoa; Chordata; Mammalia; Chiroptera; Phyllostomidae
Description: 16S ribosomal RNA
Rfam family: Bacterial large subunit ribosomal RNA
Source: RNAcentral